This 427-nucleotide ribosomal RNA is filed under the name uncultured bacterium. RNAcentral's name for it is "bacterial SSU rRNA". It matches the Rfam family "Bacterial small subunit ribosomal RNA", at positions 355 to 774 of the family's 1533-position model. The record is from RNAcentral.
UGGGGAAUUUUGGACAAUGGGCGAAAGCCUGAUCCAGCCAUGCCGCGUGAGUGAAGAAGGCCUUCGGGUCGUAAAGCUCUUUUAGUCGGAAAGAAAGAGUUGCAAUGAAUAAUUGUGAUUUAUGACGGUGCCGACAGAAAAAGCACCGGCUAACUACGUGCCAGCAGCCGCGGUAAUACGUAGGGUGCGAGCGUUAAUCGGAAUUACUGGGCGUAAAGGGUGCGCAGGCGGUCUUGCAAGUCAGAUGUGAAAGCCCCGGGCUUAACCUGGGAAUUGCGUUUGAAACUACAAGGCUAGAGUGCAGCAGAGGGGAGUGGAAUUCCAUGUGUAGCAGUGAAAUGCGUAGAGAUGUGGAAGAACACCGAUGGCGAAGGCAGCUCCCUGGGUUGACACUGACGCUCAUGCACGAAAGCGUGGGGAGCAAACA